AUGGAGAAAUUGGUACAUAAAUGUUUUAUCAAACCGGAAUGCUCUGUAAAAUGUCUCUUAAUGGGCAUGUGGGUAUGUCUAUUUCUUGAUCUGCACUUUUUCUAUUCCAUGGUUGAUCACUUAUGUUGGAAAUCUAUCAAAAUCUAUGAUGCAUUUCUACCAAUCUUGAUGAACAAGAUUGAUAUCACCACACAAUGA
This is a non-coding RNA of Vicia faba (fava bean), 198 nucleotides long. The record is from the annotation of a GenBank genome assembly. NCBI's taxonomy places the organism in Eukaryota, Viridiplantae, Streptophyta, Magnoliopsida, Fabales, Fabaceae.